Non-coding RNA from Equus caballus (horse), 8789 nucleotides. The record is from RefSeq and is a predicted model, not a curated record. Lineage: Eukaryota; Metazoa; Chordata; Mammalia; Perissodactyla; Equidae.
GGCGUAGGCCGAGGUGGAGGGAGGCUCCUGAGAGAGCUUAGCAGGUGCAAGAUUGCUGUUGGCUGUUCACGUUGCAGCAGCAAAAUGCAGAGGCUGCAGGGAACUGGCGUGUCGGGUGCCGGAGGCCCUUCAGCGUCCUGACGUCUUCGCGUCCUCCGCAGGGGCGGUUUGCGUCCAGGGGCCAGAUCGUCUCAGCACAGAUCAUGAAGAUCCGUGGAGAAAGGCACCCAAAUCAGGUCAGAAUCAGGAGACCCCACAUCAUCCCUGAGAUCUUUAAGGUCAUCUCUUCUGAUUAUGCUUAGAGGGGUGAGGACGAAUCCAGCAGUCCUCGCAGAUGUACUGUACACACUCUUGCAGUCACGAAACCUACAGUGCCUGACAAAGGGGCAGCAGCAGGAGUGGCAGAGAUAACAAUAGGAGCCACAGCAGGUGCUGUGGAUACUCAGGACAGAUCGACUCAACACCGGCAGGAGCAGCCUUCAUGGAUCCAGGAGGAAGCAGAGCCGUCAUGCCCAGGGCGGGUGCUUCCGGCGUGUCCCCACUAUGAGGUGAGGACUUAACAUGUUUGUAAGCAAGUAAUUCCCUCACGUCAGCAGGAGCUGCCAGUCUCUCUCCAGAGGGCAGCAUGUGUAUGGUGCUCGCAGGAGCAGAGACGACUGACAAGCCUGUUUCAGAAACAGCUGAAGUUCCAGUAGCGGGACCCCUCAUCUCAAGUGUGCAGACUGAAAGCUGCAUUAUUAAACAGGAAGGAAGCCAGAAGGUCUCCAAACCAGUGCUGAAGCCUAGAAGGAAAGACAGGAAAAUGACAGAACUCCCGAGAGAGGGCAUUCCCGUCACCAUCGUGUCCACUGGAGAGGACAAAUCAACCCUAACAUCGUCCUUCUGCUGGUCUGUAGCCUGCUGUGGAACCACUAGGGGUGGAAAAGAAGGAAAAAGUCUGGAGCAGCCCAGGAAGCAGAGGACACCACUCCUUCUUCCAUGGGAAAGAAACACAUCAGCUUUAGCUCCACCGCAGAGGAGUCUGGGUUUUUAGAUUUUCCCUUUUUCACUGGAUUUAAGCUGUUUGAUUAUGGUGCGACUUUGUGUAGUUUUCUUCAGGAUACUUAUGCUGUGGGUUCGUUGAGCUUUUUAGAUCUGUGAGUUUGUACUAUUCAUCAAAUCUGGGAAGUUUUCAGCCAGAAUUUUUUCAAAAAAAUCUUAGCGCUAUCUCAAUACAAUGCACAACAGCUAAUCUACAAGCAAAGUCAAAGAUGGGUGGGCAAUGCUGAUGAAUACCAGGCAUUUAAUUUGCUCACUUAAGACGUAUCACUCAGACUGAUGCAACAAUGGUGAUUCAUCACGGUGAGCUGCAAAUCCUGAUUACUGACAGCCAUGGUCGGGGAAAAGCCAGAGACAGUGACUAAAGAAGCAGAUGAUUUAUGCUGCUUUGUUUUGAUAUUAAAAAGUGCAUUGCUUUCAGACCUAUUUUUUGAGCUGCUGUAUUGGUUUUAUAGUUUUCCUCCAAACUUCUGCACCCUUUACAGAAAACUGGGAGUUUUUGCAUCAUGAAAAGGGGUUUCUUGGGACACAUGACUUUCAUUACUAAAACCAGGCUAAUCCCAUACAAACUGGGAUGAUUUAUUGCCCCACGGCCAGCUCUCUUGAAGCCUUCCUGGAGAGCACCAAGGUCACCACAGCAUGUUUUCACCCACCGCCCCAAAGUAGAGCUGGUCCCACUAAGGUAAGCAUAUGGAUGUGGAUAGCAGGAAUCGGGGGCCUCACAGGCAGUGGGAGGAGAUCAGUAAAAGAAUCCAGUAAAGGAAGGAGAGAGAGAGAGAGAGAAGCAGCUAGACUAGACUCAAUGGUGAUGAAAUUUUGACCAUAGUAGUGGUUUCCAUUGUGAUUCUGAAAAUAUGAUGACCCUUUCUGUGGAAUUUAUUACUACAGUGACAAGGAAAACUGUCAAUAUCAAUUCCAUUCUCCAGCAGACUUGUAGCCUUCACAGACUUCUAGGAAAAAAAAAAAGAUUAAAAAAUUUUAAAAUAAAUGAAAAGAAUCUAUAUUUUUCAAGAACAAGAGACAGACAGAGUUUGAAUGGGAACAUCAAAAAGCAUCCAGAGAUUUGAAUCAUAUUUCCACCAAUGUUGGACAUAUAAACUGUUAUGGGUGACAAAGACUAUGCAAAUGUGAUAACAGGAGGCCAAAGACUAUAAUAAAAAAGGUCUGUCAGAAUUUACUGUUUGAGAUUGUCAAAACAUGGUAGAAACUCAUUGUACUGAAAUGUCUGUAAUUUUACUUUAAUUAAAAACAACCGUAUUACAAAGAUUGAUGAAGAGUAAGAAGAUGAAGUUACCAAUUUUCAGACCAAAGUCAACUGUGAUGAUUACAUUUCUAGCAAAGACCAUGGAACUUCAGAAGACACAGAGAAGGAAGAGACAGAAAAAAAAGACUUGGCACACAAGUGUGAAUAAUUACUAGAUCUCUGCUACUACAGUUAGCAAGGAAAGUAGAGCACACUCUGAAUUCUUGUAAGUGGUCUCAGGAAGUUCCAUGGAGAAAUCUAUUUUGACUAUGUCUUAAAAGUUAUAAAAUUGUGAAUCCAGGCAUCAAAAUGGUAACACUGUUCAUGGGAAACAGAUAAUAAUAUCAUGAAUUAAAUGUGAUAUGUAUUCAACUGAGUAUGAGGUUAAAGGGGAAAUUGGCUCUUUCAUAUUGACCCAGGCUGUGAUGCCUGGGAUGGCAGUGGAUGAGAACAGGUGAGAGGAAGGAAGGAAGGAAGGGAGGCAAGAAGGGAGGGGAAAAAUGUUUUUUAAAAAUGUUCAUUGUAGAUUACUUGAGAUAGACUAUGAAAACAAAGCAUUUGAAUAAUCUAAAAUAUGAAGGCCGUAGGAAAAAUGUAAAGAAAAUAUUGGAAGUGAAGAAACUUUCCAAGUGUUGGUUCUGAAAUCACUGAUAGCAAAAAAAAAAAGGUUGGAAAAUUUUGGAGACGAUGUGUUGGAUAAAAGGAGAAGCUUAGAGAGGGUGGGGGAAAAUAAAUGCUCUAAUCCAUUUGGAGCUUUCCAAACACAUCCAGCCGUGGGGUCAGGCAACUUACUCCCUGGAAGAUGUUCAUGUCCUCCAAAAUGGAAGAAAAAGAACUAGGGCAAAGCCAGAGAGAGAUUUGCCCCAAACUUCCCAGAAAUCAAACUUUCGGAAGAUGCUGCAGAAGCUCUGCUUUGGGUAAGAGGAUCAAUCCCAGAACAAACAUUACAACUUUUAAAGAGUUUUGAGUCUUUCAUUUAUUGCAGAAAUUUUUCUCCCUAUAGAAAUAAGAGUGAUAGGGAAACAAUCGCUAUUUACUCCAUCACUAUUCUAAAAUAUGUAAUAAGUUUUGCUUGAUAUGAAUUAUUUAGCCGUAUUGGACAAAUUAAAUAUAUGAAGCCUCCCUCAGUGGGUGAUGAGUGCCAAUGCUAAGCCAUGUCCCCCUGGGUGACUAUUGAGUAUGACUUCACCUAUUUUCUAGUUGCCACUCUAGACAACCAAGUCAGUCCUUGCAAGUGUAUGGGUCCACGGCAGGUGCAUUGGAUUGAGGAGGAAGUGGGAUUAGGAAAAUGCAGCAGCAUUUUGAGGGCAGGUUUACUUAGAUCAAGGAAAGAAGAGAGUCCCAACUGGCACUUGUUGAAUACAAAUAUUGCCAACAUGGUAUUUUAACUCAGAAUUGUCCCUGCCUGGGACAGACACCAGGGCAGAGUCAGGAAGUACAAGACUGGAAGUUGGAUGUUCAGGGUCGCCAUCUCAAGUCUGUCACUAGGACUAAGUUAUCCUCAGAAUGCCUCCUGACCUCAGUUUUCUCACAUGCAAAACGAGGGAUUGGGUUCAAUAUGUAAUGCAAUGCAACAUUAAUCAAAUGCCUUUUAUGCUCCAGGAAUUUUACCAGAAUAAGAAAUUGUUAGGAUUCCUACCAUUUUGGGACUCCUCCUAUGAUUCUGUGACAAGAAGAUGGACUGUUGUUUGUUGCUUUAUUCACUCAUUGGGUGGAAAGACUGUAAAUCUAGCUCCCCGUGCAUGCUACCAUUCUUUGGUUUCCAUGCUAUAGACUUUAAUUGCAGAGGAAGUGGUCCAGGAUAGGAAAAGGCAAUGUACUGGCCACUGCUGGUCAUGUGAAACAACUGGACCAAACCACAGGAGAGAAACAGGUCUGUCUUGAGGAGAGGGGCUUCUGUCCUUCCCCAUCCACACCUUGCCCUCCCAGUGUUCCCAGGUGAUCCUUCCCGGUGGGUCUCCUCAAAGGAAGGAGAAGGCAGGGACCCAGCAAGGAGGUCAGAGUCUGUAGAGAAGCGUGGCCCAGCAGAACAUCCAUUAAAUGAUGUUUGGCUUGCAAGUGAUCCACCAUUUUCCUUAAAGGGGGAUCCUCACCUUACAUCUGAUUAAGUGAUGAGCAUGGAAAGGAUGACUGGAGAAAAAUCAGAAGACUAUUUUUUCUAAACUUUUUUUUCAGACUAUUAUACAUUCUUAUUAUGGAAAUUGGGAAGAUUAGAAACACACAUAGAACAAAACAAAAACCAUCCAUGGAAAUUUUUUAAAACCCUCUAAUUCAUUCCAUUUUAUUUUUUCAAACCAUAAUUUACUUUAUAAAAUUUGGACAUUUAUAUAUUUUUAAUUUAAUACUUUCUGAAAUAUUCUUCCUUGAAAUUAAAUGCUUUUAGACAUUCAUAAUUCAUAUUACCAUUUAACAUCUCUGUUAAUAUUUUAAGUAAAAAAAUUUUAACUUUAUUUAAUCUAGUAUUUCCCAAACCUCUCCUAAUUAACCUCUGGGGAAACAGUGGAGAAUGUUUAAGAAAGUUUAAAUUAAAUUAUCUUUAAGUUAUCCCCUUAUUCUAAAAUGGGUUAUUUCCGUACUUUGCCUUCUUUCUAAUAAACUUAUUUUGAUAAUUUGUUCUUCUUUUGCUGCAGUGCACGUGGUGAGGUCCCACGUUUUGCUGUUGGACCUUUCACCUGCUCCAUUAUGGGAACCAGGUUCCUCCGGGCAGUAGAACCGAGAGUAAGAGCCCUAAAUCAUUCCUCGCUGAAGCCUCACUGAGGGGGGCUGAAGGAUGAGGGUCCAUGAGGGCUUCUCUUGUGCUGAGCAAAUAACAUCUUGUCCCCAACAGAAGGACUGAGAACCACACUCCGUUCAGUACCAAGAUGAAACCAAGAUUCCCAGCUGAAAUAACGCUACCAAACAAUGGUCCUUCCUUCGCGUUCCUACUCACCAAGCUUUCCGUCUCUUUUCUGUACAGAUCAUUUAACUCUUCUAGACAACCGUCUUACUCUUCCAGGUCACCAUCUUUCUCCACCAGGUCCCAACAAUGGACAAACUCAAAUGACAGCCUUCACAUCGCUCCAACCCACUUACUUUUAGAUUUUCCUUGCACCGUGAUGAAGAAAACAAUCACGGGAAUGCAGACCACGGUUAAAAUAAUACUCAAAAUUACCCACAUAAUAUUUCUGUUGAAGAAGGAAAAUAUUGACAUCAGUUCGGGUAAGUGGCAAUGUCUGUCAGUACACGUUCCAUUUCGAAAAAGAGCCAGUAUCUAGUUCAUGCUGACCUUAAAGCAUCUCACCAUUUCUCUGUGUCUUUUUUCUGAUAACAUUUAAAUUCUCCUCUCUUGUAGCCCCUGUCUACCAUAGAGGCGUAGGUUCAUCCUAAUCUCAUCACUCCACACACGCCUACACAGUUUUUAAAGCAACCAGUAAAAUAAUACAAAUCACUUCCCUGGUGUCCUACAGACAAAGCCAUCAUUUCAAUGAUUUUAAUGUAAUUCAACUGUUCAUUCUGUCAUUGCAUAAAUAUUAUGAAUAAAAGAACCUCUUAAGGAUAAAGGAAAAACUGCAACUUCUCUGUGCUUCCAGUCAAUUUGCUGUUGACAAUUAUUAUAUUCAUUAUCUAAAAAUCAGAUUCUGCUAAGAAACCUAAGCUCAAGAAAGAAUAUUGUGAAUUUUUAAUUUCGCGUCACACUUCACCUAGCAAAGAAAUGCUGGCAGCUCUAGUCCAAGUAGGAGCCUUGAACACCACAACUCAUUUUGGUGUUAGAAUGUUGCCUAAAAAGUACAGUGCAGAGACUCAAAAUGAUUUUCCUUUCUAUUAGAAAUUCAACAAUAUACAAGAAACACAGCUUUUAAAACACUUCUCAAGGCGACGCGAUGUAGUAAUAUAGAAACUACCCUGCCAACAGAAAUAGUUAUUUCCUCCUUCUGGUUGAGCCGGAGGUUGAGGAACAGAGUGCAGCUUUUUUAGUCUAGUUACUAGGACUGAAGAUGAAGUGGAGAACAGACUGUUUCCAUCUGUUCUGCUGUUUUCAGAGUGUGGCUUUAAAUUCUGUGUUAGGCAUCUCACCAGCUUGCCUCAGGCUCUGGGUACCACCUUGCAGCCUUACACACCAGAUGGUCCACUCUGGCAUCACUGUUCUUGAAGAGAACGCGCGGGGAACUUCAUAAUCCUGUGAAAUGUAAAGGGGACAAGGAGCUUAGUUAAGAAAUCAACAUCUAAAAAUUGUUUUGAUCCUAAGUUUUAGUAUGUUUAACCAAAUAGAAUGACUGUCUAUCUUUUGUGCAACUUAAGUAGGAAAAAAAAAAAGAUUCUGUGAAUGAUUUCAUCAGAAUGAUUACCCUAAGAGAUCAAAGGUAGCAGGAAAGGGCAAGAACAAGAUAUCUUGAAGGAAUGAGAUAUUAACAAAUAGUCAAGAAAGGAAGGUAAUAAGGAGAAGACAAGUGUUAGGACUUAUAGUACGCUCGGAGGCUUGUUGAAGGGCACAGUUCUGAUUAAGUCAUUACUCUCCCACAAAUGUUGAAUUGUCAAAGAGGAUUCAUAGCAAUCAUACACUUUACCUACCAAACUUUACCGUUAUUACUGAAAGAUAGAAAAAGUAAGGACAGAGUCAGCACCAUCCACCUCUGAAAUGGUUCAAAACCAUCAGACGUACUUUUCAAAAAAGUUAUUUUUCCACCAUGGGAUGUAUUUUGGUUUUAGAUUAAGAGAUGAGUGUUAACAAUGUGUAUAACACACGUGAUUUAAAAGUUAGUCUGAGGGAGUCAUUUUAGAUUCUUAGUUUUUACACUCCAUCAGUCACAUAAGUUGAGAAACUACAUGACUAACUUUCACUUUCCAGUUGAGCCCUAUAAACCAUAAACCCCAGUUUUACGUACAGUAAGCAAUGUAGAAGGACCAAGUAUACAGAGAAGCUGUUCACUCUUUCUUUCCAAGUUAUGCGCGGGUGGGUCAAUACUGCACCUGCCUUUUGUGGGACGUGCAUGAGUCGCAGCCCCAGCAGUGGCAGGGCAUUGAAUCUGCACAUGGAAGAUCAUCACCCAUUCCCUGGACACUCUGUUGUGCAUCGUGGAGCCUGGCUUCUCUCAGGACUCCUGAUGGAAGACAGUGACAGAUUUCUGAGCAUCUAUGAGACAGACCUUGGGCUCCAAUGUGAGUGUCUCUAGCCCUCUAGUCUAACUCUCUCCUGAUCUUAGAAUUAUUCAGUUUAGCCCUUCUUUUUAUACAUUUUCCAGGUCUGCAUCUCUGAUUCACCUUCAGGGCAUACAAUGCUAAGUAGGGAGCAAGGCUACAGGCAGCAGGAGAGAGUGUGAAUGAAGGAACGAGUACAUUGGAAACAGUAGACUGGUUCUUGGGAUGCUCUACUUGGAAUCGUGGUGGAGCUGCCCACUAAUCAGUGCCCAGUGGUUUGGCAGACUAAAAGUUACAAAAUAAGGAAUGAAUGUUGUCUUCUCAGAGGUGACUUCGUGUGAGUCUGUCUGUGUUAAUUCUUUUCCCUGCUCCAUCCGGAAGGCACGAAAUUUCACCUUGAAAUGCACAGGAGUGACCUCACAGUGGAUUCUGUGACAUCAAACAAGCUAAAGCCUGAGACCCUAGUCUCCAGUCAAGUGGAGCCCCACCUCACCCCCAUGCUCAAUGGAGCCAAGAGAAGUGCUUCAUCUUGCAUCAACCACUGCCUGCCUUUGGUUCCCCAAGGUUAUGGAGGAAAGUCAUCUCCUGUGGGCUGGGGAGCACCACAACCUUCUUCUCUUCUUGCUGUUCUUCUCUCUGAAGGCCCUGAAUGUAGAUACAGUACUAAGUCUGGUCUGUAGAUUAAGCAAGAACAGGACUCAUGUUUCCUCGGGAUAUUCAUUGGCGGGGAGGAGGGGAAUGGCAGUGUUUGUCAGGCUAUGGUCUAGACUUAGCAAUGUCACUUCUAAGUAUGUACCCCAGAGAAACUCUCACACAUCUGUUCCGGGAGACAACUAUAAGAAUGUAGCACAAUGUAAGAGCAAAACGUUGGAAAUAGCCCCAAAUGUCCAUCAACCGGGGAACUGAUAAAUUAUGGAAUAUGUAUACUGUGAGAUACAACGGGGGCAGCUAUGCACAUCGGCAUGGAUGAAUCUCACCUACGUUAAAGUCAAAACAGUCACAGAACACAUGCGCUUGAGCUCAAUGUACAAAACUGUUAAUCGCAAUACCAAACUAUGAAUUAUUUAGGGUAGAUAUUUGGCAAAAUUAGAAAAAAAGCAGAUAACCGUCAGGCGUAAAGGAGGGAGAUGUCAUCAGGGAAAUUUACUCAAGAGCUUCAAUAGUGUUGGCAAUUGUUCUAUUUCAUAAACAAGGUGGUGGGUACACAGAUGUUUAUUUUUGAAUAUAUUCACAUUUCUGAGAGCUGGAUGGUCUUAAGAUGUGGUUAUCAUUGUCAUGGAUAUAUCUUAACCAAUUUCUCUUAGUACAUUUUACUUUUUAUGUGUUCACAAGGGUGAAAAAUGUCAAAAUCAAAUCUGAAAGAUUUUUUUAAUGAGUAUAAAACAUUCAAAUA